RNAcentral lists this ribosomal RNA (2887 nucleotides) under Vibrio parahaemolyticus VP232. RNAcentral's name for it is "bacterial LSU rRNA". It matches the Rfam family "Bacterial large subunit ribosomal RNA". Lineage: Bacteria; Pseudomonadati; Pseudomonadota; Gammaproteobacteria; Vibrionales; Vibrionaceae. The record is from RNAcentral.
UUAAGUGACUAAGCGUACACGGUGGAUGCCUUGGCAGUCAGAGGCGAUGAAAGACGUAGUAACUUGCGAUAAGCCCAGAUUAGGUAGUAACAACCAUUUGAGUCUGGGAUUUCUGAAUGGGGAAACCCACGUGCAUAAGCACGUAUCCUUACCUGAAUACAUAGGGUAAGGAGGCGAACCGGGGAAACUGAAACAUCUAAGUACCCCGAGGAAAAGAAAUCAACCGAGAUUCCGAAAGUAGCGGCGAGCGAAAUUGGACUAGCCCUUAAGCUUUACACGCGUUAGACGAACGGUCUGGAAAGUCCGACGAUACAGGGUGAUAGUCCCGUAGUUGACGACGUGUGUUCAGUGAAAUCGAGUAGGGCGGGACACGUGAUAUCCUGUCUGAAUAUGGGGGGACCAUCCUCCAAGGCUAAAUACUACUGACUGACCGAUAGUGAACCAGUACCGUGAGGGAAAGGCGAAAAGAACCCCUGUGAGGGGAGUGAAAUAGAACCUGAAACCGUGUACGUACAAGCAGUAGGAGCAGGCUUUGUCCUGUGACUGCGUACCUUUUGUAUAAUGGGUCAGCGACUUAUAUUCAGUGGCAAGGUUAACCAUCUAGGGGAGCCGUAGGGAAACCGAGUCUUAACUGGGCGUUCAGUCUCUGGAUAUAGACCCGAAACCAGGUGAUCUAGCCAUGGGCAGGUUGAAGGUUGAGUAACAUCAACUGGAGGACCGAACCGACUAAUGUUGAAAAAUUAGCGGAUGACUUGUGGCUAGGGGUGAAAGGCCAAUCAAACCUGGAGAUAGCUGGUUCUCCCCGAAAGCUAUUUAGGUAGCGCCUCGGACGAAUACUACUGGGGGUAGAGCACUGUUAAGGCUAGGGGGUCAUCCCGACUUACCAACCCUUUGCAAACUCCGAAUACCAGUAAGUACUAUCCGGGAGACACACGGCGGGUGCUAACGUCCGUCGUGGAGAGGGAAACAACCCAGACCGCCAGCUAAGGUCCCAAAUUACUACUAAGUGGGAAACGAUGUGGGAAGGCUCAGACAGCCAGGAUGUUGGCUUAGAAGCAGCCAUCAUUUAAAGAAAGCGUAAUAGCUCACUGGUCGAGUCGGCCUGCGCGGAAGAUGUAACGGGGCUAAGUAGUAAACCGAAGCUGCGGCAAUGUGCUUUUGCACAUUGGGUAGGGGAGCGUUCUGUAAGCGGUUGAAGGUGUGUGGUAACGCAUGCUGGACGUAUCAGAAGUGCGAAUGCUGACAUGAGUAACGAUAAAGGGGGUGAAAAACCUCCUCGCCGGAAGACCAAGGGUUCCUGUCCAACGUUAAUCGGGGCAGGGUAAGUCGACCCCUAAGGCGAGGCCGAAAGGCGUAGUCGAUGGGAAACGGGUUAAUAUUCCCGUACUUCUUACAAUUGCGAUGGGGGGACGGAGAAGGCUAGGUGGGCCUGGCGACGGUUGUCCAGGUUCAAGUGCGUAGGCUUGAGAGUUAGGUAAAUCCGGCUCUUUUUAAGGCUGAGACACGACGUCGAGCAAUCUACGGAUGUGAAGUCAUUGAUGCCAUGCUUCCAGGAAAAGCCUCUAAGCUUCAGAUUGUAAGGAAUCGUACCCCAAACCGACACAGGUGGUCGGGUAGAGAAUACCAAGGCGCUUGAGAGAACUCGGGUGAAGGAACUAGGCAAAAUGGUACCGUAACUUCGGGAGAAGGUACGCUCUCGACGGUGAAGUCCCUCGCGGAUGGAGCUAUUGAGAGUCGCAGAUACCAGGUGGCUGCAACUGUUUAUUAAAAACACAGCACUGUGCAAAAUCGUAAGAUGACGUAUACGGUGUGACGCCUGCCCGGUGCCGGAAGGUUAAUUGAUGGGGUUAGACUUCGGUCGAAGCUCUUGAUCGAAGCCCCGGUAAACGGCGGCCGUAACUAUAACGGUCCUAAGGUAGCGAAAUUCCUUGUCGGGUAAGUUCCGACCUGCACGAAUGGCGUAAUGAUGGCCACGCUGUCUCCACCCGAGACUCAGUGAAAUUGAAAUCGCUGUGAAGAUGCAGUGUACCCGCGGCUAGACGGAAAGACCCCGUGAACCUUUACUACAGCUUGGCACUGAACAUUGACCCUACAUGUGUAGGAUAGGUGGAGGCUUUGAAGCACGUACGCCAGUAUGUGUGGAGCCGUCCUUGAAAUACCACCCUUGUAGUGUUGAUGUUCUAACGUCGACCCCUUAUCGGGGUUGCGGACAGUGCCUGGUGGGUAGUUUGACUGGGGCGGUCUCCUCCCAAAGAGUAACGGAGGAGCACGAAGGUGGGCUAAUCACGGUUGGACAUCGUGAGGUUAGUGCAAUGGCAUAAGCCCGCUUGACUGCGAGAAUGACAAUUCGAGCAGGUGCGAAAGCAGGUCAUAGUGAUCCGGUGGUUCUGAAUGGAAGGGCCAUCGCUCAACGGAUAAAAGGUACUCCGGGGAUAACAGGCUGAUACCGCCCAAGAGUUCAUAUCGACGGCGGUGUUUGGCACCUCGAUGUCGGCUCAUCACAUCCUGGGCUGAAGUCGGUCCCAAGGGUAUGGCUGUUCGCCAUUUAAAGUGGUACGCGAGCUGGGUUUAGAACGUCGUGAGACAGUUCGGUCCCUAUCUGCCGUGGGCGUUGGAAGAUUGAAGGGGGCUGCUCCUAGUACGAGAGGACCGGAGUGGACGAACCUCUGGUGUUCGGGUUGUGUCGCCAGACGCAUUGCCGGUAGCUAAGUUCGGAAUCGAUAACCGCUGAAAGCAUCUAAGCGGGAAGCGAGCCCUGAGAUGAGUCUUCCCUGAUACUUUAAGUAUCCUAAAGGGUUGUCGGAGACUACGACGUUGAUAGGUCAGGUGUGUAAGUGCUGUGAGGCAUUGAGCUAACUGAUACUAAUUGCCCGUGAGGCUUAACCAU